UAGGAUGUGGCUCAGUGGUGGAGUGCAUGUCUGCCACCCACAAGGCCCUGGGUUCAAUUCCCAGCACCACAA
This 72-nucleotide transfer RNA is filed under the name Heterocephalus glaber (naked mole-rat). It matches the Rfam family "tRNA". Rfam says of the family: Transfer RNA (tRNA) molecules are approximately 80 nucleotides in length. Their secondary structure includes four short double-helical elements and three loops (D, anti-codon, and T loops). Lineage: Eukaryota; Metazoa; Chordata; Mammalia; Rodentia; Bathyergidae. The record is from Rfam by way of RNAcentral.